Molecule: long non-coding RNA, 822 nt
Organism: Zingiber officinale
Lineage: Eukaryota; Viridiplantae; Streptophyta; Magnoliopsida; Zingiberales; Zingiberaceae
Exons: 4
Source: RefSeq, a predicted model, not a curated record
AUAGCAUAUGGUAAACCUUCUUCCGAAAUCGCGGAUUCCUCACUUUCGCCUCUUCCGCCGUUACAGCGAUCGCGGCGAGCCCUGCUCUCGAAGUCGAAGGAUUUGAUUGCGUCGAGAUGGAAGCGAUGAGAAGGGCUGCGCAGCGUCACCUCGUCCAAUCCGUCCUCCGCCGCGACUUCCCUCCUCACCCGUUAUCUUCCUUCUCGGCAGUCGCUGCCCCGAGGAACGUGCCGACGGCCGCCCUUUCGCCAGAGGAUCUGAUGUAACGACAACGCACUGGUCGAGACGGUGCCCUUCACCUCCACCUGCUGCCUCAUCGAAGACCUUCCCCGUUGGCUUGGCUGGCCAAGGAGCAACACUCUCCCGAGCGGACUCCCAAGGAUGUCGUACUUUACCAGUAUGAGGCUUGCCCCUUCUUCAAUAAGGUCAAAGCAUUGCUUGACUAUCAUGAGAUAAGAUACAAAAUUGUGGAGGUGAAUCCUUUAAGCAAGAAGGAGAUAGUGGCCUGAUUAUAAGAAGGUUCCAAUACUGGUUGUGAACGGGGAGCAGCUAAUUAAUUCAUCAGAUAUAGUGAGAAACUUAGAUGCCAGGCUGCAUCCUGAGAAAGUCACUGAUGACGAAAAUGUCAAAUGGCUUAGGCGGGUUGAUGAUCACCUUGUUCAUAUGUUGGCACCAAACAUUUACAGAACAACUUCAGAGGCGCUGGAAUCUUUUGAUUACAUAGCUAACAAUGGUAAGUUUGUACUAUUAGUGUUAAAUGUUCAUAGAUAGUGCUUCAUGCAAUACUUGAUCCAUACAUAGAAAGAUUCUUGUAUUUUACAA